This 498-nucleotide ribosomal RNA is filed under the name uncultured bacterium. Its description in RNAcentral is "partial 16S ribosomal RNA". It matches the Rfam family "Bacterial small subunit ribosomal RNA", at positions 30 to 523 of the family's 1533-position model. The record is from RNAcentral.
AUUGAACGCUGGCGGCAUGCCUUACACAUGCAAGUCGAACGGUAACAGGUCUUCGGAUGCGGACGAGUGGCGAACGGGUGAGUAAUACAUCGGAACGUGCCUAGUAGUGGGGGAUAACUACUCGAAAGAGUGGCUAAUACCGCAUGAGAUCUACGGAUGAAAGCAGGGGAUCGCAAGACCUUGUGCUACUAGAGCGGCCGAUGGCAGAUUAGGUAGUUGGUGGGAUAAAAGCUUACCAAGCCGACGAUCUGUAGCUGGUCUGAGAGGACGAUCAGCCACACUGGGACUGAGGCACGGCCCAGACUCCUACGGGAGGCAGCAGUGGGGAAUUUUGGACAAUGGGCGCAAGCCUGAUCCAGCAAUGCCGCGUGCAGGAUGAAGGCCUUCGGGUUGUAAACUGCUUUUGUACGGAACGAAAAGCCCCGGGUUAAUACCCUGGGGUCAUGACGGUACCGUAAGAAUAAGCACCGGCUAACUACGUGCCAGCAGCCGCGGUAA